This 498-nucleotide ribosomal RNA is filed under the name uncultured bacterium. RNAcentral describes it as "partial 16S ribosomal RNA". It matches the Rfam family "Bacterial small subunit ribosomal RNA", at positions 30 to 523 of the family's 1533-position model. The record is from RNAcentral.
AUUGAACGCUGGCGGCAUGCCUUACACAUGCAAGUCGAACGGUAACAGGUCUUCGGAUGCUGACGAGUGGCGAACGGGUGAGUAAUACAUCGGAACGUGCCUAGUAGUGGGGGAUAACUACUCGAAAGAGUGGCUAAUACCGCAUGAGAUCUACGGAUGAAAGCAGGGGAUCGCAAGACCUUGUGCUAAUAGAGCGGCCGAUGGCAGCUUAGGUAGUUGGUGGGAUAAAAGCUUACCAAGCCGACGAUCUGUAGCUGGUCUGAGAGGACGAUCAGCCCCACUGGGACUGAGAAACGGCCCAGACUCCUACGGGAGGCAGCAGUGGGGAAUUUUGGACAAUGGGCGCAAGCCUGAUCCAGCAAUGCCGCGUGCAGGAUGAAGGCCUUCGGGUUGUAAACUGCUUUUGUACGGAACGAAAAGCCCCGGGUUAAUACCCUGGGGUCAUGACGGUACCGUAAGAAUAAGCACCGGCUAACUACGUGCCAGCCGCCGCGGUAA